Molecule: ribosomal RNA, 455 nt
Filed under: uncultured bacterium
Lineage: Bacteria
Description: bacterial SSU rRNA
Rfam family: Bacterial small subunit ribosomal RNA
Source: RNAcentral
UACGGAAGGCAGCAGUGGGGAAUAUUGCACAAUGGGCGCAAGCCUGAUGCAGCCAUGCCGCGUGUAUGAAGAAGGCCUUCGGGUUGUAAAGUACUUUCAGUCGUGAGGAAGGUGUUAAGGUUAAUAACCUUAGCAAUUGACGUUAGCGACAGAAGAAGCACCGGCUAACUCCGUGCCAGCAGCCGCGGUAAUACGGAGGGUGCGAGCGUUAAUCGGAAUUACUGGGCGUAAAGGGCACGCAGGCGGUUAAUUAAGUUGGAUGUGAAAUCCCCGGGCUUAACCUGGGAAUGGCAUUCAAGACUGGUUAGCUAGAGUCUUGUAGAGGGGGUAGAAUUCCAUGUGUAGCGGUGAAAUGCGUAGAGAUGUGGAGGAAUACCGGUGGCGAAGGCGGCCCCCGGACAAAGACUGGACGCUCAUGUGCGAAAGCGUGGGGAGCAAACGAGGGAUUAGAUACC